CUUAGUGGCGAACGGGUGAGUAACGCGUGAGGAACCUGCCUUUCAGUGGGGACAACAGUUAGGAAACGACUGCUAAUACCGCAUAACAUGUACGGAUCGCAUGGUCUGUACAUCAAAGUCUUUAUGUGCUGAAAGAUGGCCUCGCGUCUGAUUAGAUAGUUGGUGAGGUAACGGCUCACCAAGUCGACGAUCAGUAGCCGGUCUGAGAGGAUGAACGGCCACAUUGGGACUGAGAUACGGCCCAGACUCCUACGGGAGGCAGCAGGUGGGGAAUAUUGGGCAAUGGGGGAAACCCUGACCCAGCAACGCCGCGUGAAGGAAGAAGGCCUUCGGGUUGUAAACUUCUUUUACCAGGGACGAAGAACGUGACGGUACCUGGAGAAAAGCAACGGCUAACUACGUG
RNAcentral lists this ribosomal RNA (403 nucleotides) under uncultured bacterium. Its description in RNAcentral is "bacterial SSU rRNA". It matches the Rfam family "Bacterial small subunit ribosomal RNA", at positions 91 to 507 of the family's 1533-position model. The record is from RNAcentral.